This 963-nucleotide long non-coding RNA is filed under the name Cricetulus griseus (Chinese hamster). RNAcentral's name for it is "lncRNA (ENSCGRG00015029214.1)". Lineage: Eukaryota; Metazoa; Chordata; Mammalia; Rodentia; Cricetidae. The record is from RNAcentral.
GAGAUGGCACGGGACGGAAACAAGCAGAAGGAGGUUCAAGAAGGGUUGAAGUAGCGAGGAUGAGAUGCACACAUGCAUGGCAUUGACAAAGGACAGGCUGAUUUAAUUAAAAAGAAGGGGAUGGUGCACGCACCAGUCCGCUAUCCACAGCUGUGACAAAAGACCUGAAGAAGUCAAGGCAUGAAGUUGGCAGUUCUGAAGGAGAAGAUUCGUGUAGAACGGCUGAGGAUACAAAGAUGGUGGAGGCAUCGCCUCUGACCUGAGGAGUUCGUGGUACAUGCUAGCAGAAGCCCAGGCAGCCAGGAAGAGCUCAUCAGUUAAGGAGUUAGAGGUCCGCUCUGCAGGAAGUGGGAAGCCCUGAGGAGUCUGGGCAGGAGAGACCAUUGCCAGCAGAUGUCCACUCUGCCUGGCAGUGGCUUGGAGUCCACGGCAGUGAGAUCUACAGUCGAUAGAUUCUGACUUCAGAGAAAGGCUCAACUUGAACUGUUCUUGCCUGGACAAAUUUCCUGUGGCCUUGAGCCUCCCAAUAGAUGCUUCUCUGAGAGGAUCUGGAGCUGGGAAACGUUGGAUAUUUUUAAAUCAUGGUGCGAACUGGGCAAGUUGGCUGGAUCUGACUGAAGCCUCCCAAACCCAGGAGGAAAAGAAGGAAGGGAAGCCAAGCAGGAAGUGAGGCAGAGGCCAUGGAAGGACGCAUGCUGCUUACUGGCUGGCCUCCCCCGGUGACCUGCCUUCCUUAAGUGGGGAUAGCACUUUCAAUAGUGGGCUGGUCCCUCCCUUACCAAUUAGCAGUUAAGAAAAUGAAUGCCCCACAGACAUGUCCACAGGCUACUCUGAUGGGGGUGACUCCUCAGUUGAGAUCUCCUCUUCCCAAGUGGGUCUAGGUUUGUGUUGAACUGAGCAAACCAUGACAAGGCAGAACUCCACUCUACUUAUUUACCCACAGGAAGGGAAAGCAGACUGCCA